Molecule: ribosomal RNA, 433 nt
Filed under: uncultured bacterium
Lineage: Bacteria
Description: partial 16S ribosomal RNA
Rfam family: Bacterial small subunit ribosomal RNA
Source: RNAcentral
AACGAACGCUGGCGGCAUGCCUAACACAUGCAAGUCGAACGAGACCUUCGGGUCUAGUGGCGCACGGGUGCGUAACGCGUGGGAACCUGCCCUUAGGUUCGGAAUAACUCCCCGAAAGGGGUGCUAAUACCGGAUAAUGUCUUCGGACCAAAGAUUUAUCGCCUUUGGAUGGGCCCGCGUUGGAUUAGCUAGUUGGUAGGGUAAAAGCCUACCAAGGCGACGAUCCAUAGCUGGUCUGAGAGGAUGAUCAGCCACACUGGCACUGAGACACGGCCCAGACUCCUACGGGAGGCAGCAGUGGGGAAUAUUGGACAAUGGGCGAAAGCCUGAUCCAGCAAUGCCGCGUGAGUGAUGAAGGCCUUAGGGUUGUAAAGCUCUUGUACCCGGGAUGAUAAUGACAGUACCGGGAGAAUAAGCUCCGGCUAACUCCGUG